This 469-nucleotide ribosomal RNA is filed under the name uncultured bacterium. RNAcentral's name for it is "partial 16S ribosomal RNA". It matches the Rfam family "Bacterial small subunit ribosomal RNA", at positions 28 to 507 of the family's 1533-position model. The record is from RNAcentral.
GACGAACGCUGGCGGCGUGCUUAACACAUGCAAGUCGAACGGAAAGGCCCUGCUUGCAGGGUGCUCGAGUGGCGAACGGGUGAGUAACACGUGGGUGAUCUGCCCCUUACUUUGGGAUAAGCCUGGGAAACUGGGUCUAAUACUGGAUAGGACCAUGCUGUAGGUGGUGUGGUGGAAAGAUUAGUUUCGGUAAGGGAUGAGCUCGCGGCCUAUCAGCUUGUUGGUGGGGUAAUGGCCUACCAAGGCGUCGACGGGUAGCCGGCCUGAGAGGGUGGACGGCCACAUUGGGACUGAGAUACGGCCCAGACUCCUACGGGAGGCAGCAGUGGGGAAUAUUGCACAAUGGGCGCAAGCCUGAUGCAGCGACGCCGCGUGGGGGAUGACGGCCUUCGGGUUGUAAACUCCUUCCAGCCAUGACGAAGCCCUUGUGGUGACGGUAGUGGUAGAAGAAGCACCGGCUAACUACGUG